RNAcentral lists this non-coding RNA (600 nucleotides) under Drosophila persimilis. RNAcentral describes it as "Eukaryotic large subunit ribosomal RNA". It matches the Rfam family "Eukaryotic large subunit ribosomal RNA", at positions 2847 to 3401 of the family's 3401-position model. Lineage: Eukaryota; Metazoa; Arthropoda; Insecta; Diptera; Drosophilidae. The record is from Rfam by way of RNAcentral.
AGCGUUCAUAGCGACGUCGCUUUUUGAUCCUUCGAUGUCGGCUCUUCCUAUCAUUGUGAAGCAAAAUUCACCAAGCGUUGGAUUGUUCACCCAUGCAAGGGAACGUGAGCUGGGUUUAGACCGUCGUGAGACAGGUUAGUUUUACCCUACUAAUGACAAAACGUUGUUGCGACAGCAUUCCUGCGUAGUACGAGAGGAACCGCAGGUACGGACCAAUGGCACAAUACUUGUUCGAGCGAACAGUGGUAUGACGCUACGUCCGUUGGAUUAUGCCUGAACGCCUCUAAGGUCGUAUCCGUGCUGGACUGCAAUGAUAAAUAAGGGGCAAUUUGCAUUGUAUGGCUUCUAAACCAUUAAAAGUUUAUAAUUUAUUUUAUAAACGACAAUGGAUGUGAUGCCAAUGUAAUUUGUAACAUAGUAAAUUGGGAGGAUCAUCGAUCACCUGAUGCCGCGCUAGUUGCAUAUAAAAACAUUAUUUAAUACAAUGACAAAGCCUAGAAUCACUUGUAAACGACUUUUGUAACAGGCAAGGUGUUGUAAGUGGUUGAGCAGCUGCCAUACUGCGAUCCACUGAAGCUUAUCCUUUGCUUGAUGAUUCGA